CGGAAUUCCGGCCAGUUAGUAAGAUACUACUGCAUUCUAUGAAAAGAGUUGACAUUUAUAAGACCAUUGCAGACGAGUAUAAGAAUUUUAUAUAGCAAAAUAGUCAUUCAUUAGAUAGUUAAACAAACGGUGUGAGUAUUCCUUUAUAGGAGUGAGUCUUUAUAGUCUCUUGGCCAAUAACGGUCGAGACAAAUCGAAGGCAUCUUGUCGCGCCAGAUUCAAAAAAAGCGCGCCUCCUAAGCAAACGUAGCUACUAUGUAUAGCCUGUAUAGGAUCUUAAAGUGCAGCUGUGUAUACUUUGCAAAAAGGGGGAAAUGAUAUAUUUUAGAAUUGAUACGUGUCAAAGAGAGUAGGUAAUGUGGUUUUUUGAGACAUGAGUGUAACAAAGUUUGUCACGAUAAUAUUUUAUAAAGGAGAGAUAAAAAACUUAAUGUAAAAAUGACAAACGAUUGUAGAAGAUGAGAAACUAUGCCAUUAAUUAAUUAUCGG
Long non-coding RNA from Bombus pyrosoma, 489 nucleotides. RefSeq lists it as uncharacterized. The record is from RefSeq and is a predicted model, not a curated record. NCBI's taxonomy places the organism in Eukaryota, Metazoa, Arthropoda, Insecta, Hymenoptera, Apidae. The transcript has 3 exons.